AAUGAACGCUGGCGGCGUGCCUAACACAUGCAAGUCGGAUGUGCCGCAAGGUGCAUGGCAGACGGGUGAGUAACGCGUAGGGAAUCUACCUUUUUUUGGGGAAUAACGCUCCGAAAGGAGUGGUAAUACCGCAUGAGACCGUGAGCCGGGAUGUUCACGGUGAAACCUGGGGACCGCAAGGCCUGGGGCAAAAAGAGGAUCCUGCGUCUGAUUAGCUAGUUGGCGGGGUAAUGGCCCACCAAGGCGACGAGCAGUAGCCGGCCUGAGAGGGUGAUCGGCCACACUGGAACUGAGACACGGUCCAGACUCCUACGGGAGGCAGCAGUGGGGAAUUUUGCGCAAUGGGCGAAAGUCUGACGCAGCAACGCCGCGUGGGUGAUGAAGGUCUUCGGACUGUAAAACCCUGUCGUCAGGGACGAAGGUGGCAGUGUUAAUAGCGCUGUUACUUGACGGUACCUGGAGAGGAAGCCCCGGCUAACUCUGUG
Molecule: ribosomal RNA, 485 nt
Filed under: uncultured bacterium
Lineage: Bacteria
Description: partial 16S ribosomal RNA
Rfam family: Bacterial small subunit ribosomal RNA
Source: RNAcentral